This 601-nucleotide long non-coding RNA is filed under the name Pan troglodytes (chimpanzee). RNAcentral's name for it is "lncRNA (ENSPTRG00000053706.1)". The record is from RNAcentral. Lineage: Eukaryota; Metazoa; Chordata; Mammalia; Primates; Hominidae.
GAAACAACGACCACGGAGCUGCUCAAUUUGUCUGGUACAUGGACCCAUGGCUCCUGAGAGGUGGGAAGGGGCUGCCUGCAUCCGUGGGCCCUGAAUCACCACAUAGAGGAAGAUGCCUCUGCUUCUUGAUGUUGGAGGUCAUUUCUCAGAUGGGAAACUGGAGCUGGCCCAGCCACUCACUCUUUCCUAGUUUGUUCUGUCUCUGAUUGACGAGCAAUGGGAUGAAGCAUGAGGUUGAGGGCGAGAGGGCUGUGUUAUCUCAAGAAGGCCUCUCCGAGGAGCUGAUAUUUGAGCUGAGAUAGUCAUAAACUCUCAGGAUGAGCAGGUGGGUCUUAGAGAUAGAUCUUCCGGUCCAGGCAUCGCCGGGAAUCUUUUAGAGGGCAGGAGGUGUUCCAGUGUAAAUACAAAACAGAGCAAGCAUGACAUGAAAGAGUCUGGUGCUCAGCCUCCAAGCUGAGGGGUGGUCAGGUGUGGCAGGACUGUGGCUACCUGGAGCAUGCAUGCCCUCCUGCAGCGGGCAAAAGCUGCCUCACUCAGCCAACUGCCCAGGCCAGAGUGCAAGCCCUAAGAGGCCAGCCUCCUGAUGCUGCCAAGAGACAGA